GACUCUAAGCGGUGGAUCACUCGGGUCGACGAAGAACGCAGCCAGCUGCGAGACUUGGUGUGAAGACCAGGACACACUGAGCACUGAUUCUUUGAACGCACAUUGCGGCCUUGGGUCUUCCCUUGGCUUCGUCUGUCUGAGGGUCG
RNAcentral lists this ribosomal RNA (146 nucleotides) under Dermacentor andersoni. Its description in RNAcentral is "5.8S ribosomal RNA". It matches the Rfam family "5.8S ribosomal RNA". From Rfam's summary of the family: 5.8S ribosomal RNA (5.8S rRNA) is a component of the large subunit of the eukaryotic ribosome. It is transcribed by RNA polymerase I as part of the 45S precursor that also contains 18S and 28S rRNA. Functionally, it is thought that 5.8S rRNA may be involved in ribosome translocation. The record is from RNAcentral. Lineage: Eukaryota; Metazoa; Arthropoda; Arachnida; Ixodida; Ixodidae.